GAUGAACGCUGGCGGCGUGCCUAAUACAUGCAAGUCGAGCGAACGGACGAGGAGCUUGCUUCUCUGAUGUUAGCGGCGGACGGGUGAGUAACACGUGGAUAACCUACCUAUAAGACUGGGAUAACUUCGGGAAACCGGAGCUAAUACCGGAUGAUAUUUUGAACCGCAUGGUUCAAAAGUGAAAGACGGUCUUGCUGUCACUUAUAGAUGGAUCCGCGCUGCAUUAGCUAGUUGGUAAGGUAACGGCUUACCAAGGCAACGAUGCAUAGCCGACCUGAGAGGGUGAUCGGCCACACUGGAACUGAGACACGGUCCAGACUCCUACGGGAGGCAGCAGUAGGGAAUCUUCCGCAAAGGGCGAAAGCCUGACGGAGCAACGCCGCGUGAGUGAUGAAGGUCUUCGGAUCGUAAAACUCUGUUAUUAGGGAAGAACAUAUGUGUAAGUAACUGUGCACAUCUUGACGGUACCUAAUCAGAAAGCCACGGCUAACUACGUG
RNAcentral lists this ribosomal RNA (497 nucleotides) under uncultured bacterium. RNAcentral's name for it is "partial 16S ribosomal RNA". It matches the Rfam family "Bacterial small subunit ribosomal RNA", at positions 28 to 507 of the family's 1533-position model. The record is from RNAcentral.